This 422-nucleotide ribosomal RNA is filed under the name uncultured eukaryote. RNAcentral's name for it is "bacterial SSU rRNA". It matches the Rfam family "Eukaryotic small subunit ribosomal RNA", at positions 592 to 1018 of the family's 1831-position model. The record is from RNAcentral.
CAAUAGCGUAUAUUAAAGUUGUUGCAGUUAAAAAGCUCGUAGUUGGAUUUCUGGCAGGAGCGACCGGUCGCGCACUCUGUGCGUGAACUUGUGUUGUCUCUGGCCAUCCUCGGGGAGAUCCUGUUUGGCAUUAAGUUGUCGGGCAGGGGAUACCCGUCGUUUACUGUGAAAAAUUAGAGUGUUUAAAGCAGGCUUUUGCUAUGAAUACAUUAGCAUGGAAUAAUGGAAUAGGACUAUGGUCUCUUUGUUGGUUUGAGGGACUGCAGUAAUGAUUAAUAGGGAUAGUUGGGGGCAUUAGUAUUUAAUUGUCAGAGGUGGAAUUCUCAGAUUUGUUAAAGACUAACUUAUGCGAAAGCAUUUGCCAAGGAUGUUUUCAUUAAUCAAGAACGAAAGUUAGGGGAUCAAAGAUGAUCAGAUACCAU